UUUUGUUAUUGUUUUGAUUGAGAGACCCCUAGUGGCUGAAAUUACAUAUUGUGCGUUUAAUUCAUACAUGUAUACUUUCAAGGCCAGCUGUAGAGAAUAUUUGUUUGAUGCCCAGUUAGUUGCAGAAAGGUGGACAAAGACAUACUUCCUCAAAAGUUACAAGAUGUAAAAGUAAUGUGUCUUGUGUAUCAAAGUUAGUAAUUGCCUGCUAAAAAGGUGUCAAGUCUACUGAAAAGUUGUUUGUAAUGCAUAUUCCGACACUUUGUAUCUCUUCUCAACAAGUGAUCAGUUUGACCAGCGGCUGCAAGCUCCAAGGGACUUAGAAGAAAAGUGGUACUGUACUGACUGUUCAACAAGUAUUGGCCACAGUGAGGUUGCUCUGGCUGCCAAGGAUGCAAGUCUCAACAUUUCUAGUCUGUCCACCACUCUACAAACACUAUCAACUGGACAUGUCAUUCCCAACAGAACACCAGCUGAAGGGUGAAAAGUAUGUAUUGUCAGUGGUCUUGGGCUUGCUGAUUGGAGUAGAUUGUGCUGACAAAGUACUCUCAACCAAGAAAAAGGUCAAGAAGGGGAAUUUAUUACCUGUUGCUCAAGUCCCCAUAAAGUUGAUCGAUGAAAACAUUCCAGUCGAAGCCCUUGUAAGGAGAUGUUUUUACAGACACUAGCUGGCAACAGCAACAGAGACCUUGUUUAAAACACUGAGGCAACAAGGACAGUAUACUGUAAGUGUGAGGUCUGUAACAUUUCAGACAUAGAGAAGAGAAGGUCAAUACUGUGAGACGGCUGGUACCAUUUUUCCUUUGCAGGAAUUGUUGAAGUGCCUUCAUACCGCUUUUGUUUCUGCACAUCAUGCUACAACUAGUCAGACUUUGUGGUGGUACAGUAUAUUGAUUGCUAAAUGCAAUAGUGGUUGGCAACGGAUUAAUAUUUCAAUAUCCCAUUUCUUUGUAUUAGGGGUGUGCCCGAAUACAAAUACAUUAUUCGGCAAAGCACAAAUAGUGGGUUUUAUAC
Molecule: long non-coding RNA, 1014 nt
Organism: Thunnus maccoyii (southern bluefin tuna)
Lineage: Eukaryota; Metazoa; Chordata; Actinopteri; Scombriformes; Scombridae
Exons: 3
Source: RefSeq, a predicted model, not a curated record